CCUACGGGGGGCAGCAGUGGGGAAUAUUGCACGAUGGGGGAAACCCUGAUGCAGCAACGCCGCGUGAGUGAAGAAGUAUUUCGGUAUGUAAAGCUCUAUCAGCAGGGAAGAAAAUGACGGUACCUGAGUAAGAAGCCCCGGCUAACUACGUGCCAGCAGCCGCGGUAAUACGGAGGAUGCGAGCGUUAUCCGGAUUUAUUGGGUUUAAAGGGUGCGUAGGCGGAUUUUUAAGUCAGCGGUAAAAUGUCCGGGCUCAACCCGGGCCGGCCGUUGCAACUGGGGAUCUUGAGUGGGCGAGGAGUAUG
This 305-nucleotide ribosomal RNA is filed under the name uncultured bacterium. Its description in RNAcentral is "bacterial SSU rRNA". It matches the Rfam family "Bacterial small subunit ribosomal RNA", at positions 338 to 661 of the family's 1533-position model. The record is from RNAcentral.